RNAcentral lists this ribosomal RNA (492 nucleotides) under uncultured bacterium. RNAcentral's name for it is "partial 16S ribosomal RNA". It matches the Rfam family "Bacterial small subunit ribosomal RNA", at positions 29 to 507 of the family's 1533-position model. The record is from RNAcentral.
AGUGAACGCUGGCGGUAGGCCUAACACAUGCAAGUCGAACGGCAGCACAGUAAGAGCUUGCUAUUACGGGUGGAGAGUGGCGGACGGGAGAGGAAUACAUCGGAAUCUACUUUUUAGUGGGGGAUAACGUAGGGAAACUUACGCUAAUACCGCAUACGAACUACGGGUGAAAGCAGGGGAUCUUCGGACCUUGCGCGAUUGAAUGAGCCGAUGUCGGAUUAGCUAGUUGGCGGGGUAAAGGCCCACCAAGGCGACGAUCCGUAGCUGGUCUGAGAGGAUGAUCAGCCACACUGGAACUGAGACACGGUCCAGACUCCUACGGGAGGCAGCAGUGGGGAAUAUUGGACAAUGGGCGCAAGCCUGAUCCAGCCAUGCCGCGUGGGUGAAGAAGGCCUUCGGGUUGUAAAGCCCUUUUGUUGGGAAAGAAAAGCAGCAGGUUAAUACCCCGCUGUUCUGACGGUACCCAAAGAAUAAGCACCGGCUAACUUCGUG